This 253-nucleotide unclassified non-coding RNA is filed under the name uncultured Oceanospirillales bacterium. RNAcentral describes it as "contains 16S-23S intergenic spacer region". It matches the Rfam family "Bacterial small subunit ribosomal RNA", at positions 524 to 776 of the family's 1533-position model. The record is from RNAcentral. Lineage: Bacteria; Pseudomonadati; Pseudomonadota; Gammaproteobacteria; Oceanospirillales.
UACGGAGGGUGCAAACGGUAAUCGGAAUAACUGGGCGUAAAGCGCGCGUAGGUGGUUGAGUCAGUCAGAUGUGAACGCCCCGGGCUUAACCUGGGAACUGCACCUGAUACUGCUUGACUAGAGUACGGUAGAGGUCAGUGGAAUUUCCUGUGUAGCGGUGAAAUGCGUAGAUAUAGGAAGGAACACCAGUGGCGAAGGCGACUGCCAGGACUGAUACUGACACUGAGGUGCGAAAGCGUGGGUAGCGAACAGG